RNAcentral lists this ribosomal RNA (308 nucleotides) under uncultured bacterium. Its description in RNAcentral is "bacterial SSU rRNA". It matches the Rfam family "Bacterial small subunit ribosomal RNA", at positions 30 to 334 of the family's 1533-position model. The record is from RNAcentral.
AUUGAACGCUGGCGGCAUGCUUUACACAUGCAAGUCGAACGGCAGCACAGGGAGCUUGCUCCCGGGUGGCGAGUGGCGAACGGGUGAGUAAUACAUCGGAACGUGUCCUUUUGUGGGGGAUAACUACUCGAAAGAGUAGCUAAUACCGCAUAAUACCUGAGGGUGAAAGCGGGGGACUUUAGGGCCUCGCGCAGUUGGAGCGGCCGAUGACUGAUUAGCUAGUUGGUGGGGUAAAAGCUUACCAAGCCGACGAUCUGUAGCUGGUCUGAGAGGACGACCAGCCACACUGGGACUGAGACACGGCCCAG